CUUUCUUUUUGCAUUUAGUGGGAUGUUGAGUAACAGUACUCCGUGGAGCAGACUUUUUAGACAGAAAAUGCAAUUUAAUAUUUAGGAUCCUGGUUGUGUGUUCCCAUAGAAUACCAUCGCCCCGUCAGAAGUUCAGAAGUGGACUAAUCAUCGAGUGAUGGAGUGGCUGCGCUCUGUGGACUUGGCAGAAUAUGCCCCCAAUCUCAGAGGCAGUGGUGUCCAUGGUGGGCUCAUGGUUCUAGAGCCUCGUUUUAAUGUAGAAACAAUGGCUCAGUUAUUGAACAUCCCACCCAAUAAGACUUUGCUGCGAAGACAUUUGGCCACUCAUUUCAACCUUCUGAUUGGGGCUGAGGCACAGCACCAGAAGCGAGAUGCCAUGGAGCUGCCAGAUUAUGUACUUCUAACAGCUACUGCCAAAGUGAAG
RNAcentral lists this small RNA (424 nucleotides) under Pongo abelii (Sumatran orangutan). RNAcentral describes it as "retained intron". The record is from RNAcentral. Lineage: Eukaryota; Metazoa; Chordata; Mammalia; Primates; Hominidae.